Molecule: ribosomal RNA, 416 nt
Filed under: uncultured bacterium
Lineage: Bacteria
Description: bacterial SSU rRNA
Rfam family: Bacterial small subunit ribosomal RNA
Source: RNAcentral
UGAGGAAUAUUGGGCAAUGGAGGAAACUCUGACCCAGCCAUGCCGCGUGAGUGAAGAAGGUUUUCGGAUUGUAAAGCUCUUUCGCACGGGACGAUGAUGACGGUACCGUGAUAAGAAGCCCCGGCUAACUUCGUGCCAGCAGCCGCGGUAAUACGAAGGGGGCGAAGCGUUGUUCGGAAUUACUGGGCGUAAAGGGAGUGUAGGCGGUUAUGUAAGAUAGCGGUGAAAUGCCGGGGCUCAACCUCGGAAUUGCCGUUAUAACUAUGUAACUAGAAUGAUAGAGAGGAUAGCGGAAUACCCAGUGUAGAGGUGAAAUCCGUAGAUAUUGGGUAGAACACCGGUGGCGAAGGCGGCUAUCUGGCUAUAAAUUGACGCUGAGGCUCGAAAGCAUGGGGAUCAAACAGGAUUAGAUACCC